UACAGAGGUCCCAAGCGUUGUUCGGAAUUACUGGGCGUAAAGCGAGUGUAGGCGGUCUCGUAAGUCGGGUGUGAAAGCCCUGGGCUCAACCCAGGAAGUGCAUUCAAAACUGUCUCGCUUGAAUCUCGGAGGGGGUCAGAGAAUUCCCGGUGUAGAGGUGAAAUUCGUAGAUAUCGGGAGGAAUACCAGUGGCGAAGGCGCUGACCUGGACGAAGAUUGACGCUGAGGAGCGAAAGCGUGGGGAGCAAACAGG
Molecule: ribosomal RNA, 253 nt
Filed under: uncultured bacterium
Lineage: Bacteria
Description: partial 16S ribosomal RNA
Rfam family: Bacterial small subunit ribosomal RNA
Source: RNAcentral